UGUACCUUCAAGCUCUGCUUGGUGUUGGGUGUUUGUCUCGCCUCUGCGUGUAGACUCGCCUCAAAACAAUUGGCAGCCGGCGUAUUGAUUUCGGAGCGCAGUACAUCUCGCGCUUUGCACUCAUAACGACGACGUCCAAAAGUACAUUUUUACACUC
RNAcentral lists this unclassified non-coding RNA (157 nucleotides) under Nothophoma quercina. Its description in RNAcentral is "ITS2". The record is from RNAcentral. Lineage: Eukaryota; Fungi; Ascomycota; Dothideomycetes; Pleosporales; Didymellaceae.